AUAAUGGGUCAGCGACUUAUAUUCUGUAGCAAGGUUAACCGAAUAGGGGAGCCGAAGGGAAACCGAGUCUUAACUGGGCGUUAAGUUGCAGGGUAUAGACCCGAAACCCGGUGAUCUAGCCAUGGGCAGGUUGAAGGUUGGGUAACACUAACUGGAGGACCGAACCGACUAAUGUUGAAAAAUUAGCGGAUGACUUGUGGCUGGGGGUGAAAGGCCAAUCAAACCGGGAGAUAGCUGGUUCUCCCCGAAAGCUAUUUAGGUAGCGCCUCGUGAAUUCAUCUCCGGGGGUAGAGCACUGUUUCGGCAAGGGGGUCAUCCCGACUUACCAACCCGAUGCAAACUGCGAAUACCGGAGAAUGUUAUCACGGGAGACACACGGCGGGUGCUAACGUCCGUCGUGAAGAGGGAAACAACCCAGACCGCCAGCUAAGGUCCCAAAGUCAUGGUUAAGUGGGAAACGAUGUGGGAAGGCCCAGACAGCCAGGAUGUUGGCUUAGAAGCAGCCAUCAUUUAAAGAAAGCGUAAUAGCUCACUGGUCGAGUCGGCCUGCGCGGAAGAUGUAACGGGGCUAAACCAUGCACCGAAGCUGCGGCAGCGACGCUGAUGCGUUGUUGGGUAGGGGAGCGUUCUGUAAGCCUGCGAAGGUGUGCUGUGAGGCAUGCUGGAGGUAUCAGAAGUGCGAAUGCUGACAUAAGUAACGAUAAAGCGGGUGAAAAGCCCGCUCGCCGGAAGACCAAGGGUUCCUGUCCAACGUUAAUCGGGGCAGGGUGAGUCGACCCCUAAGGCGAGGCCGAAAGGCGUAGUCGAUGGGAAACAGGUUAAUAUUCCUGUACUUGGUGUUACUGCGAAGGGGGGACGGAGAAGGCUAUGUUGGCCGGGCGACGGUUGUCCCGGUUUAAGCGUGUAGGCUGGUUUUCCAGGCAAAUCCGGAAAAUCAAGGCUGAGGCGUGAUGACGAGGCACUGCGGUGCUGAAGCAACAAAUGCCCUGCUUCCAGGAAAAGCCUCUAAGCAUCAGGUAACAUCAAAUCGUACCCCAAACCGACACAGGUGGUCAGGUAGAGAAUACCAAGGCGCUUGAGAGAACUCGGGUGAAGGAACUAGGCAAAAUGGUGCCGUAACUUCGGGAGAAGGCACGCUGAUAUGUAGGUGAAGUCCCUCGCGGAUGGAGCUGAAAUCAGUCGAAGAUACCAGCUGGCUGCAACUGUUUAUUAAAAACACAGCACUGUGCAAACACGAAAGUGGACGUAUACGGUGUGACGCCUGCCCGGUGCCGGAAGGUUAAUUGAUGGGGUUAGCGCAAGCGAAGCUCUUGAUCGAAGCCCCGGUAAACGGCGGCCGUAACUAUAACGGUCCUAAGGUAGCGAAAUUCCUUGUCGGGUAAGUUCCGACCUGCACGAAUGGCGUAAUGAUGGCCAGGCUGUCUCCACCCGAGACUCAGUGAAAUUGAACUCGCUGUGAAGAUGCAGUGUACCCGCGGCAAGACGGAAAGACCCCGUGAACCUUUACUAUAGCUUGACACUGAACAUUGAGCCUUGAUG
RNAcentral lists this ribosomal RNA (1539 nucleotides) under Escherichia coli. RNAcentral describes it as "partial 23S ribosomal RNA". It matches the Rfam family "Bacterial large subunit ribosomal RNA", at positions 612 to 2136 of the family's 2925-position model. The record is from RNAcentral. Lineage: Bacteria; Pseudomonadati; Pseudomonadota; Gammaproteobacteria; Enterobacterales; Enterobacteriaceae.